CCCUUAGAUGUUCGGGGCCGCACGCGCGCUACACUGACGGAUUCAACGAGCUUACAACCUUGGCCGAAAGGUCUGGGUAAUCUCCAAAAUCCGUCGUGAUGGGGAUAGAUUAUUGCAAUUAUUAAUCUUCAACGAGGAAUGCCUAGUAAGCGCAAGUCAUCAGCUUGCGUUGAUUACGUCCCUGCCCUUUGUACACACCGCCCGUCGCUCCUACCGAUUGAAUGGUCCGGUGAAGCGUUUGGACUAUGGUUUUCUGAUGGUCCGCCGUUGGAUUACCGUGGGAAGUUCGUUAAACCUUAUCAUUUAGAGGAAGGAGAAGUCGUAACA
RNAcentral lists this ribosomal RNA (327 nucleotides) under uncultured eukaryote. RNAcentral's name for it is "partial 18S ribosomal RNA". It matches the Rfam family "Eukaryotic small subunit ribosomal RNA", at positions 1470 to 1796 of the family's 1831-position model. The record is from RNAcentral.